GUGAGGAAUUUUCCGUAAUGGGCGAAAGCCUGACGGAGCAAUGCCGCGUGAAGGAUGAAGGCCUAUGGGUUGUAAACUUCUUUUCUCAGAAAAGAAUUAUGACGGUAUCUGAGGAAUAAGCAUCGGCUAACUCUGUGCCAGCAGCCGCGGUAAGACAGAGGAUGCAAGCGUUAUCCGGAAUGAUUGGGCGUAAAGCGUCUGUAGGUUGUUUAAAAAGUAUUCUGUCAAAGAUUAGGGCUUAACCCUAGAUAGGCAGAAUAAACUUUUAAGCUAGAGUUUGGUAGAGGCAGAGGGAAUUCCCGGUGGAGCGGUGAAAUGCGUAGAUAUCGGGAGGAACACCAAAGGCGAAGGCACUCUGCUGGGCCAAUACUAACACUGAGAGACGAAAGCGAGGGGAGCAAAUGGGAUUAGAAACCCCGGUAGUCC
RNAcentral lists this ribosomal RNA (426 nucleotides) under uncultured bacterium. Its description in RNAcentral is "bacterial SSU rRNA". It matches the Rfam family "Bacterial small subunit ribosomal RNA", at positions 354 to 796 of the family's 1533-position model. The record is from RNAcentral.